Molecule: ribosomal RNA, 522 nt
Filed under: uncultured Paracoccaceae bacterium
Lineage: Bacteria; Pseudomonadati; Pseudomonadota; Alphaproteobacteria; Rhodobacterales; Paracoccaceae
Description: bacterial SSU rRNA
Rfam family: Bacterial small subunit ribosomal RNA
Source: RNAcentral
AUACGAAGGGACCUAGCGUAGUUCGGAAUUACUGGGCUUAAAGAGUUCGUAGGUGGUUGAAAAAGUUGGUGGUGAAAUCCCAGAGCUUAACUCUGGAACUGCCAUCAAAACUUUUCAGCUAGAGUAUGAUAGAGGAAAGCAGAAUUCCUAGUGUAGAGGUGAAAUUCGUAGAUAUUAGAAAGAAUACCAAUUGCGAAGGCAGCUUUCUGGAUCAUUACUGACACUGAGGAACGAAAGCAUGGGUAGCGAAGAGGAUUAGAUACCCUCGUAGUCCAUGCCGUAAACGAUGUGUGUUAGACGUUGGAAAUUUAUUUUCAGUGUCGCAGGGAAACCGAUAAACACACCGCCUGGGGAGUACGACCGCAAGGUUAAAACUCAAAAUGAAUUGACGGGGACCCGCACAAGUAGUGGAGCAUGUGGUUUAAUUCGAAGCAACGCGCAGAACCUUACCAACCCUUGACAUCCUAGGACCGCCAGAGAGAUCUGGUUUUCACUUCGGUGACCUAGUGACAGGUGCUGCAU